GAGUAAGCUGACUCUCUGUUAUGACCCAAUGUUUCUGAUAAUUGCUCUGUUUUGUUUGAAUAGUCUGGCAUAUAAGACAAGAGAUUCUCUGAGAAUUUUGAUUGCCGAACUCCAAUCACAUAAUAACAGCACUACCAUAUUGAAAUCUCGUUUCAAUGAGAAAAUGUGAUGGUCAAGGCCGAGUAGAACAAAUGUGUGAUUAUGUGUACACGUGAAGUGGAGAUCCAGGUAUGAGGACAACAUCUGCCCCACACAAUAUUAGAGAUAAAUGUCCCACAUCGAAUAUUGAAAGGGAUCCCUAACAAUCUAUUAUUAUAAAGAAAUGUGCCUCUCUCCUUAUUAGGACACGUCAUCAAUUAGAAGCAGCAGAAGCCGACAUCUGUCCUACUCUCACGUAAGUCUCGCUGCCCUUUAUGUUUCUAAUGGGCUUUCAAAUGCAUGUGUAUUCUCUGGGCUUCAAAAUAUUAUGUUAGAUUGAAUAUUUACUUAAUAUGUCCCAAUAUUGUCCUUUGAGUCGCCUUCUAUUUCAAUACGGUAUCGGCGUUAGGGUUCUUCAUAAUCUGCAAAUCUGCUUACGUCUAGCGUUUAUAGAGAUUUUGGUUUCUCUGAGAGAGAUACUUCGUCGCUGUAAGAUGUGCGUAGGCGUUUCGUUUUUUUUUACUCACCCCAAUGUCGUUACAAGUUCAUUGAUUCAGCAUUGAUUCAACAUCAUUAAGUCUCGCUUUUCCCUCACGACCCACUACAACCACAAUUAUGCAUUUAAUGUCUCUUUAUCCUCUUCCAAGCGGUGGAUCUCAUCUAUAAAAAGGUUGGACAUCCUGCAUUGAAAAUCAUCCUCACAAUUUCAAAAUCAUUCGAUAAUUCUUCCUCAUGAUAAUGGCUAAUAGUUUAAUCUACUUGCAUGAUUCAGAUUCUGAGAAGCCAAAAACGUUAAACACGGUGGCCAGUUGAUGGCGUGUACAUGAUUUUCAUGAUCCUAAGUCGACACUCAUGCCAGCCACCAUUGAUGGCCACUGUCUCGCCACCUUCCGACGCCGUGUCAAUGCCGGUUCUCUGUUGACAGUUAGCUGGUUCGAUGUGAUACGGUGCAAUCAUAGCUUCUGACUAACCUACUCUCCUCUAAUGAUUCAGUUUAUUAGUGAUUCAACCACUUCUGAUGAGAACCAAACCGGUCUCUCCAAUACCUGAAGAACGGUUUAGGUUACGGAAUCACGAUUAGCUUCAUGGCCUAGCCAAUACAAACACACAUAUUCCAGGUUCAUCCGCUUAAUAUCUGAUUCAUCCAAGAUUAAUUAUUGAAACCUAUAAAUAAUUGAGCGCUCCAUUGACUCUCAGACAUUAUUGGAGAACUCACUGAUGUGAAGAGUACAGUGAGUGAUAAGCCAUUCAUCACCACUUUCAUAACUGAUUAAAUAUACGCUGGCUAUUUCAUAUUAUGGUUUUUCUGUUGGCAGUGAGCCAGUGAUGUAUAUGUCAAGCAGUGGAGUUUCACUAUAUACUGGAAGGUUUUGGAGGUGAUCCAAGAGUUGUUGUCACGACUGACAUAAAAUAAUGAUGAUGAUAAUGGAGAUGACAUGCCUGGUGGCAAUUCAGUACUCUCUAAGGUUAAGGCAUACUGACGUUGACGAUGAAUUCAUCUCAGGCAAACAGAGGCGCCCAUGGUUAGAUUCUAAAUAUCUCUCUAGGGAGACACUUGAAAAGUUCAGCUAUUCAUUCACCAACAAGUACAACUACAUGUAUUUUGUUGUCUGUCAUGCUUUUUUCUUUCUGUAAAAUGAACAAACAGAAUCGAGAAUAUAUAGAACUCUCCACCAAAUGAUGAAAGAGUCUAAUUAGAACAUUGCUAUUUACCGCAUCCACAUUUACGAUUUUCAAGUUUAUAUGAAACUUCCAUCUAUUGUAUCCUAUCUGACAUGACCUAUCUCAUACAGUAAUUGCAGCUUGAUUAGCUCGACAAACCCGGAUGCUCCGGCCAGCUACUAAUUCUUCUGAAAGUAUUCUCACUGCCCAUAACUCACCAAAAUUCUUUUACUUCCUCAGCUAAAACUCAAACAUUUAAAAGUUAUGGAAGAGGAAGAACUCACGCUUUACCAGACACAAAAAUGCAUGUACAUAACGACUAUACUUUUCAAGACUAACAACCAAAGUGACAACAAUCAUUAUCACCAAUAUACAUUCCAUUCGCAAUCAAAACACACCAAAUAUAUAUUAACACAUUAUAAAAAUUUGUUGAAUGAUAAAAAUUUGACUUUAGGUCCACGUGGGCUAUCAUAUUGUUUCCGUAUUUGGGUCCAUUUAUUUUGGCCCAUUAAAAAUUGACGUAUUAGUUCCUAACUGGAAACAUAAUAUCUUCUUCUUCUCAUCUUAGCUCUCUCCACCUUCAUCUUCACCACCGUAAACCAAACAUUGAAUAUCAAUCACCACGUCCACAAACCACCAUUGUAACUCUUCGUAUCAACAUAAUUCCAUGUAAUUAAGAUUGUGAUAACCUUAUACAGGCAUCGGAGAAGCUGAGAAGCCAUAAACUUCACGGUGGAAGCAGCAAUGAGUCUGGUCGGAGAAAAUGACCAGAGGUUACAAUUUCUUACCCAAAAAUGGAAUUCAGUUCUCACGAUCAAGAAGAAUCAAAAAGAAUAAUAGAACAUAUAGAGCUCAGAAGGGCGAAGAAAGAGAGACGUACCUGAGUCUCUUUGGAAGAGACUGAGCUUGCUGUCCAAGCUCGAGACAAAUAGGAAGCUGAGUUAUCGAUCCAUGUUUGGUUCGUGAGACUGUUUCCCUCAAGAAAAGUCAAUGGGAGUUACAUGUCGGGAUUAACAUGUGAGUCAAAACUAGAAAGGAUAAGCUUUACUCGGGUAAGGAGGGAGGUAUGAGUGCGAGUCGUGAAUAUCUCUCAAGCUGACUGAAUCGAAGAUGGAGAUGCAUUCCGCGGAGAUAAAUUCAUCGGAGGAAUACAAUAUGGCCACUGGAGGCGUAUGGAAUCGAGUUAUUUUUGACCAUCCAGUAAAUCGGGGCUUUAAGAGCACCAGCAUUAAUGAACCUCUGGUUGGGGUUCAUAAUUUAAAUUUUUUAUUAUUUUUUUUUUCAUUUUUUGUUUGUUAUUUUUUUUAAAAAAAAAAAAAAUUGACCAAUAGCGGG
Molecule: long non-coding RNA, 3135 nt
Organism: Brassica napus (rape)
Lineage: Eukaryota; Viridiplantae; Streptophyta; Magnoliopsida; Brassicales; Brassicaceae
Exons: 3
Source: RefSeq, a predicted model, not a curated record